This 374-nucleotide ribosomal RNA is filed under the name uncultured bacterium. RNAcentral describes it as "bacterial SSU rRNA". It matches the Rfam family "Bacterial small subunit ribosomal RNA", at positions 524 to 898 of the family's 1533-position model. The record is from RNAcentral.
UACGUAGGGUGCGAGCGUUAAUCGGAAUUACUGGGCGUAAAGCGUGCGCAGGCGGUUAUAUAAGACAGAUGUGAAAUCCCCGGGCUCAACCUGGGAACUGCAUUUGUGACUGUAUGGCUAGAGUACGGCAGAAGGGGAUGGAAUUCCGCGUGUAGCAGUGAAAUGCGUAGAUAUGCGGAGGAACACCGAUGGCGAAGGCAAUCCCCUGGGCCUGCACUGACGCUCAUGCACGAAAGCGUGGGGAGCAAACAGGAUUAGAUACCCUGGUAGUCCACGCCCUAAACGAUGUCAACUGGUUGUUGGGUUUUAAUUAACUCAGUAACGAAGCUAACGCGUGAAGUUGACCGCCUGGGGAGUACGGCCGCAAGGUUGAA